AGUGCCCAUGGGCUCGGCCGGAGAAACAUUUACCCACAGGACAGGGCUCAGGAAUAAACCAGACUGAUGUAUGUUUGGAAAGAAUGAAGAGAGUUCAACAACAAGAACAAAAGAUUUCAUAAUAUAAUAGGUUUGAGGUCAGUGAUGUGAUGUGAGGAGAACAGAAUGGAGUUCACAGCUGGAAGUCUCUCUUCAUUAUCAACACCACACGACUCCAAAGAAACCCAGUGAGCUCAAAGAACCCGUCCUUAAGAGAACCAUGAGCGGGUAAAUAUUUAAUGCCUUUUCGAUGUAAUAUGUGAUAGGAAAAGGGAGAAGAGAGAGGUCGGCAAAAGGUGGAUUUGAACCAGCGACAUCGCAUCAAAACCAGAUUCACGAGCUAUACGCAGACAUUGGUGGGCGGAGCUAUAGCAUUUACCUACAAGGGACACACUUUGUAUUUGGUGUAAAUAGUCACUCUGACUUUUUUUUUAUUGGUUUUAGAACUGAAUG
Non-coding RNA from Misgurnus anguillicaudatus (oriental weatherfish), 492 nucleotides. The record is from RefSeq and is a predicted model, not a curated record. NCBI's taxonomy places the organism in Eukaryota, Metazoa, Chordata, Actinopteri, Cypriniformes, Cobitidae.